GCAAAAGUAAUUGCGGUUUCUAAUCAUUUAAAAGUAAUGGCAAAAACUGCAGUUACUUUUACACC
RNAcentral lists this microRNA precursor (65 nucleotides) under Colobus angolensis palliatus. RNAcentral describes it as "miRNA (ENSCANG00000009000.1)". The record is from RNAcentral. Lineage: Eukaryota; Metazoa; Chordata; Mammalia; Primates; Cercopithecidae.